This 435-nucleotide ribosomal RNA is filed under the name uncultured bacterium. RNAcentral describes it as "partial 16S ribosomal RNA". It matches the Rfam family "Bacterial small subunit ribosomal RNA", at positions 28 to 507 of the family's 1533-position model. The record is from RNAcentral.
GAUGAACGCUGGCGGUAUGCUUAACACAUGCAAGUCGAACGGACUCUUCGGAGUUAGUGGCGGACGGGUGAGUAACGCGUGAGAAUCUGGCUUUGGGUUCGGGACAACCACUGGAAACGGUGGCUAAUACCGGAUGUGCCGAGAGGUAAAAGAGAAAUUGCCUGAAGAUGAGCUCGCGUCUGAUUAGCUAGUUGGUGAGGUAAAGGCUCACCAAGGAAGCGAAGAGUAGCUGGUCUAAGAGGAUGAACAGCCACACUGAGACUGAGACACUGCACACACCUCAGCCGGAGGCAGCAGAGGGAAAUUUUCCGAAAUGGGAGAAAGACGCACGGACAAAUAGCGCGUGAGGGAAGAAGCGUCAUGGGUUGUAAUCCUCUUUUCAUAAGGAAGAACAUUAAGACAGUAAAUAAGGAAUGAGCAUGGACGAACUACGUG